Long non-coding RNA from Bos indicus x Bos taurus (hybrid cattle), 2744 nucleotides. Lineage: Eukaryota; Metazoa; Chordata; Mammalia; Artiodactyla; Bovidae. The record is from Ensembl.
ACCUGCCCCAAACCCAAGGUCACUCACGCCACACAUCUUGCCCCAAGUCCCAGAGGAAAAACCACUGCAAACAAGCAUUGGGGUUUUUUUCUUUUGCAGAAUUAUUUUUUUUAGUAGACAUAGUCUUUUUUUUUUUCCUUUCUCAUUUUACAGCAAACAUUGCAAAUAUAGAAAUAUUUCUCUAUACAAUAGGACGACAGUGUAUAGUGGGGGCAGGGCUGGAAGGCACACUCCCGGCCCCCGCCACCCCUGGCCGUCUGCAGGCACAGCCCUCCCUGCCCCCAAGGUCCCGGGAGCUCCGGGACCCUCCCGGAGACCACCUGGCCGCCUGCGUUCGCUCUGGCCCUCUCUGGUGGCGGCGACGAAGAGACGGACUAAACAGAAUCCACAGAAAGCCACGGACAGAGGAGUCGUGCGGGGACCAGGUGGCCACACCCCCCACAUAGAGCGUUUUACGUCUUUUAAAGAGAACUUUAAAAAAAAAAAAAGAGAAGGCAGAGAAGAAUCAAAAGAUAAUGAAAAAAAUCCCCUCCCCCGCCCCCCAUCCCUAAGACACAGUUUUCGGAAGUCCCUUGUGUGUGUGUGUGUGUGUGUGUGUGUGUGUGUGCACGCGUGUGUGUGGACGGGCCCCUCACACCAGCGAGAACGUCUCGGCAGGUGCACACGCUUAGCCACGCGCCCCUCCCGUUCGGCCUGCCGGUGCCCCCUCCCCACUUUGCCCGAAAAGCCCAGGGCUUCAGCAGUUGUAGGGGGGGGUGUGUGUGUAUGUGUGUGUGUGCACGCGCACGCGUGUGCACCGUGAGUCUCUGUGCGUGUGUGCGCGUGCGCCGUGAGUCUCUGGGUUAGCUGCAGUGUCCUCUGGCCGCGCGCGGCCCGCUCAGGACUUGUGCUGCGCAGACACGCCCUUCCAGUAGUCCAGGAUGUCGUGCAGGUCCUCGUCCUUGGCGAACUGCACCUUCCGGCGCAGCGCGUGGCCGGCCGCCACGCACUCCCCGGCGUCCCGGUGCCGCGGGCGGCUCAGUCUGAAGCGGGCCCAGAGGCUGCGGGAGGCGCGGCAGGCGUACUCGGGGCUGGAGGCGUAGCUCAGGUGGCGGUACUGCGGCGAGAGCGGCGCGUAGGCCAGGUCGCGGGGGCGCGGCCGCGUCAGCGGCUCCAGGAUGGAGGCCUUGCGGCCGCCCAGGCUCUCGGGGGGCGCGGGCGGCGCGGGGGGCUCCACAGGGUGGGGCCCGGGGUACGAGUGCCGGUGCUCCCCGUACUGCCGGCCCUUCUCGGGCUCGGCCCGCAGCACGGCUGCCGCGGGCGUCACCGUGAGGAUGGCCUCCGCCGCGGGCGAGCCCUUCUCGAUGUACUUGGCCUCGUGCAGCGCAGGGGGCUCGGCGCGGUAGGGCCGCGGGCUGCGGGCGGAGCCGCUGGACGAGGAGCUGGCCCGCGGGGCCCCGGGGGCGGCCUCCAGGCUGUGGUGCCGCUGCAGGCCGCAGGCGUCCUGGUAGGCGGGCGCCAGGAAGCCGCGCUUGCCGGCCAGCGGCUCGGCCGUGGACACGGCGCCCGGCUUGCCGCCCUGGAAGGAGGUGGCCUCGGCCUUGAGGGCGUCGAUGCAGUUGUUGAUGAUCUGGUUGACCUUGUCCACCUCCUUGGCGAUGGUGGAGAUCUCAGCCACCGAGCCCUGGCUGUCGGGGCCCGGCCGGCCCUGCUCCCCCUCCCUGCGUUCUGCCUGCUCCGCCGCACGCACCUCCAUGUAGCCGCCCUUGCUGCCCUGGGGCGUCCCGCUGCCCUCCGCCAGCUGGUACUGCUCCACCUCCCCGGGGGCGGCGGGCAGGUAUGGGAUGCGGGUCACCGCCUCGGGGCCCAGCAGCGGGCCCUGGGACAGCGGGGCCAGGCCUGGCGCCUCCAGCUCGGGCCCGUACUUGAGCUCGAUGAUGGUCUUCUUGAGGCUGCCGGCCGCUGCCGCCGCCUGCUUCUGCUUGCCCUCCCGCCGCCGCCGCCGCCGCAGGCAGUAGUAGACGGCGCCCAGCACCACCACCAUGCCGAAGAGGCAGCCCAGGACGGUCAUGAUGUAGUGGGUGGCCGUGGAGGGGCUGGGCACGGGGCCCGGCGGGCUGGGCGGCUGCGGCAGGCAGAUGGGGAGGCAGGAGCCUGAUGAGUCGUCUGCAAGAGCUGUAAAUUUGAUAAGUGCUUAUUAGAAAUAUGAGAAUGAGGCUUAAAACGUGCUUGUCUGCCUGAAAUGAUGGCUGAGGUGCCCUCAGACUCACUGGCUAAACGUGGUAAGCUGUUCCACCGUAGCUGCAAGGUUAAAAAAAGUACAUCGAGACAGAAGUGAGAUCCCCAGAAGAGCCUGUCACUGUCCCGGGGGCUCCAGAAAACCCUCCUUAGAAACGGGCCAGAAAAGCGGCCGGAUCCCACACCCUCCGCCUCUGGCUCCUCCCUCCAGGUGGUCCAGGACCCCAGCCCCCAGCCACCCGACCAGCUGAGCUGAGCGGGCGCAGCGAGCCCCACGGGCGCUGGGUUCCAGGACCCCAGCCCCCAGCCACCCGACCAGCUGAGCUGAGCGGGCGCAGCGAGCCCCACGGGCACUGGGUUCCAGGACCCCAGCCCCCAGCCACCCGACCAGCUGAGCUCUGAGAAGGCACAGCGAGCCCCACGGGCACUGGGUUCCAGGACCCCAGCCCCCAGCCACCCGACCAGCUGAGCUGAGCGGGCGCAGCGAGCCCCACGGGCACUGGGUUCCAGGACCCCAGCCCCCAGCC